Molecule: ribosomal RNA, 449 nt
Filed under: uncultured bacterium
Lineage: Bacteria
Description: bacterial SSU rRNA
Rfam family: Bacterial small subunit ribosomal RNA
Source: RNAcentral
UAGGGAAUCUUCCGCAAUGGACGAAAGUCUGACGGAGCAACGCCGCGUGAGUGAAGAAGGUUUUCGGAUCGUAAAACUCUGUUGUCAGGGAAGAACAAGUAUGGGAGUAACUGCCCGUACCUUGACGGUACCUGGCCAGAAAGCCACGGCUAACUACGUGCCAGCAGCCGCGGUAAUACGUAGGUGGCAAGCGUUGUCCGGAAUUAUUGGGCGUAAAGCGCGCGCAGGCGGCCUUUUAAGUCUGAUGUGAAAGCCCCCGGCUCAACCGGGGAGGGUCAUUGGAAACUGGAAGGCUUGAGUGCAGAAGAGAAGAGCGGAAUUCCACGUGUAGCGGUGAAAUGCGUAGAGAUGUGGAGGAACACCAGUGGCGAAGGCGGCUCUUUGGUCUGUAACUGACGCUGAGGCGCGAAAGCGUGGGGAGCGAACAGGAUUAGAUACCCCCGUAGUCC